This 301-nucleotide ribosomal RNA is filed under the name uncultured bacterium. Its description in RNAcentral is "partial 16S ribosomal RNA". It matches the Rfam family "Bacterial small subunit ribosomal RNA", at positions 512 to 808 of the family's 1533-position model. The record is from RNAcentral.
CAGUCCCGCGGUAAUACGGAGGGAGCUAGCGUUGUUCGGAAUUACUGGGCGUAAAGCGCGCGUAGGCGGUUACUCAAGUCAGAGGUGAAAGCCCGGGGCUCAACCCCGGAACUGCCUUUGAAACUAGGUGACUAGAAUCUUGGAGAGGUCAGUGGAAUUCCGAGUGUAGAGGUGAAAUUCGUAGAUAUUCGGAAGAACACCAGUGGCGAAGGCGACUGACUGGACAAGUAUUGACGCUGAGGUGCGAAAGCGUGGGGAGCAAACAGGAUUAGAUACCCCCGUAGUCCCUGUCUCUUAUACA